GGAGAGGUGGCCGAGUGGUUUAUGGCGGCUGUCUUGAAAACAGUUGAGCGAUGAGCUCCGGGGGUUCGAAUCCCUCCCUCUCCG
This 84-nucleotide transfer RNA is filed under the name Pseudomonadota bacterium. Its description in RNAcentral is "tRNA-Ser". It matches the Rfam family "tRNA". From Rfam's summary of the family: Transfer RNA (tRNA) molecules are approximately 80 nucleotides in length. Their secondary structure includes four short double-helical elements and three loops (D, anti-codon, and T loops). Lineage: Bacteria; Pseudomonadati; Pseudomonadota. RNAcentral also lists the same sequence under 2 other names. The record is from RNAcentral.